AAUAAGCUGUACGUUUUACGUCCAAUGGAUGCAUGAUCCGAUUAGUCGACUAAUCGCAAAAAUAAUCGGUGACUAGUCGACUAUCAAAAUAAUUGUUUGUGGCAGCCCUAGUGGACUUUGAUUCCAAGUUAAUACUAGCUAGUGUUUCUCACUGGUUUUUGGGCGGUGGAGUAAAAGGGAUUGGUUGGUGGCUGUUUCUAAUGUUAGCCUUGUCUUUGCUUUCUUACAGGCAGGAUAAAGACACGGUGAUAAAUGAGUGUGUGGGCCGUCUGCUGAGGUCCAAGAGCUCAGGACACUCAGACGGGGGUGUCGCAGCAGGAGUCACCGUGCUCCACAAUCCUCUGCUGUUCUGAGAUGUCACACUCCUGCCUGCACAUACAAACCACAGUGAAGUCAAAGUUCCACCUGCACCUCCACCUGUUCUUGCAACAGCAUGAACACUGACAGAGGAGGAAGGUGGAGGAGCAGCUCCAGCAGAGCAACACCAGAGGUGUGUGGAGAGGACUGAACACCAUCACUGGACGGAGCACUGUGAGCGGAGGGGGUCCAGAGUCUGGAGACCAGGUUCUGGCUAACAGAUUGAACCAGUUGUUUAACAGGUUUGAUUCAGUAGCCCUUCCCUCCCCCAUCCACCAGAGCUCGUCACACCUCUCUGCAACCCCCCAUAGCACCGGGGACAUGAAAUGCACCUCACCUGUCCCCCUUUUCCUUCUCCUUCAACCACUCUACUGGGUCUAAGUCGUCUCCACCUGCUACAGCGGCUGAGAUCCUUUGGGGUGAACAGGACACUCCUCAGG
Oreochromis aureus is the source of this 797-nucleotide long non-coding RNA. NCBI's taxonomy places the organism in Eukaryota, Metazoa, Chordata, Actinopteri, Cichliformes, Cichlidae. The record is from Ensembl.